UUGUCUUCAUUGGCUGCUGUAUGUAUUCUUCUUUUGGUUGCUGAACGUAGGUCUCAAUUGGUUGCCUUGGUUGUUGAAUGGUAGGCUUCCUCAUGACUAUAAAUUGGCAGCAAAUGGUUUCAUUUGAAGUACCAUAACCGAGUGUGAGAAGAAGACAAAAUAGCAAGAAAGGCAUUCUGCCAAAGAGAGAGAAUUCUCUUAAUUGUUCUUUGCUUUAUAUCAUUAUUUUUUUUUCUUUUCAAUCGUUGUGAGAGUGUGACUCGGGUGUAUUUGGGAUUUGGGUUUCUUGAGUGAUAAACACUUUGUAUACUCUCUUUGAUUACAGUGGAUUACUCUGUCGUCUCCAAACUGAAUGUAGGAAUAGCCGAACCAGUAUAAAUCUUGGUGUUCUUGUUGGUGUUUUUUUUUCCUUUUAUCUCAUGCCAGUUGUUGUUUACUUUUAUCCACUUACACUACUUGGUUGACGCUUUCGCACAAUAGGCCCCGCCCAAGAUCGAGAGGGAUAGGAGGUUCGGGGAAGAGUGUCGUCGAAUUUAACUGCAGACGUGAUGGUUUACAAGAAGAAGGCUGAGAAAUGCUAUACGACAGUUUUUAUAAACUGUACCAUGGAAGCUCUUGUUUUC
This 623-nucleotide long non-coding RNA is filed under the name Prunus persica (peach). RNAcentral describes it as "long non-coding RNA (PPER_LNC006911)". The record is from RNAcentral. Lineage: Eukaryota; Viridiplantae; Streptophyta; Magnoliopsida; Rosales; Rosaceae.